GACGAACGCUGGCGGCGUGCUUAACACAUGCCAGUCGAACGGAAAGGCCCUGCUUUUGUGGGGUGCUCGAGUGGCGAACGGGUGAGUAACACGUGAGUAACCUGCCCUUGACUUUGGGAUAACUUCAGGAAACUGGGGCUCAUACCGGAUAGGAGCUCCUGCUGCAUGGUGGGGGUUGGAAAGUUUCGGCGGUUGGGGAUGGACUCGCGGCUUAUCAGCUUGUUGGUGGGGUAGUGGCUUACCAAGGCUUUGACGGGUAGCCGGCCUGGGAGGGUGACCGGCCACAUUGGGACUGAGAUACGGCCCAGACUCCUACGGGACGCAGCAGUGGGGAAUAUUGCACAAUGGGCGGAAGCCUGAUGCAGCAACGCCGCGUGCGGGAUGACGGCCUUCGGGUUGUAAACCGCUUUCGCCUGUGACGAAGCGUGAGUGACGGUAAUGGGUAAAGAAGCACCGGCUAACUACGUG
RNAcentral lists this ribosomal RNA (468 nucleotides) under uncultured bacterium. Its description in RNAcentral is "partial 16S ribosomal RNA". It matches the Rfam family "Bacterial small subunit ribosomal RNA", at positions 28 to 507 of the family's 1533-position model. The record is from RNAcentral.